RNAcentral lists this ribosomal RNA (389 nucleotides) under uncultured Nitrospina sp. Its description in RNAcentral is "bacterial SSU rRNA". It matches the Rfam family "Bacterial small subunit ribosomal RNA", at positions 29 to 410 of the family's 1533-position model. The record is from RNAcentral. Lineage: Bacteria; Pseudomonadati; Nitrospinota; Nitrospinia; Nitrospinales; Nitrospinaceae.
AACGAACGCUGGUGGCGUGCUUAACACAUGCAAGUCGAACGAGAAAGUUUCCUUCGGGAAAUUAGUAAAGUGGCGCAAGGGUGAGUAACACGUGAAUAAUCUGCCCUCGAGAUCGGGAUAACAUGGUGAAAACUAUGCUAAUACCGGAUAAGACCACAUUUUAAAAGAAAUGCGGUAAAAGAAGUCUCAAUCUUUACUCGAGGAUGAGUUCGCGCAACAUUAGCUUGUUGGUGAGAUAAAAGCUCACCAAGGCUACGAUGUUUAGCCGGCCUGAGAGGGUGAACGGCCACACUGGAACUGAGACACGGCCCAAACUCCUACGGGAGGCAGCAGUAGGGAAUCUUGCACAAUGGAGGAAACUCUGAUGCAGCGAUGCCGCGUGAGUGAAG